GCGUCGGUAGUAUAGUGGUUAGACUGUAAGGACCAAUAUCCUAGCCUUCCAAGCUAGGCACCCGGGUUCGAAUCCCGGCCGACGCA
This 86-nucleotide transfer RNA is filed under the name Nanobdellota archaeon. Its description in RNAcentral is "tRNA-Gly". It matches the Rfam family "tRNA". Rfam says of the family: Transfer RNA (tRNA) molecules are approximately 80 nucleotides in length. Lineage: Archaea; Nanobdellati; Nanobdellota. The record is from RNAcentral.